Molecule: non-coding RNA, 2845 nt
Organism: Callithrix jacchus (white-tufted-ear marmoset)
Lineage: Eukaryota; Metazoa; Chordata; Mammalia; Primates; Cebidae
Source: RefSeq, a predicted model, not a curated record
CAUACUGAGUAGGAGAGGAGUUCCUCCUCUCCAACGCAGUAUUUUGGAAGAGUUUCAGUAGGAAAAGUACCAGCUCUUCUUUGUACAUCUGGUAGAAUUCUGCUGUGAAUCCAUCUGGUCUAAGCUUCUUUUGGUUGGUAGGCUAUUUAUUACAGACUCAGUUUCUGAGCUUAUUAUUGGUCUGUUCAGGGAUUCAGCUUCUUCCUGAUUCAUUCUUGGCAGCUACACCUCCAGCUUCCCUAGAUCUCUGGCUUGCAGACUGCAAAUUGUGAAAUUUUUCAGCCUCCACAAUGGCAUGAACCAAUUUCUUAUAAUAAAUUAUCCAUCUAUCUAGAUGGACCGACAGAAAUAUCCUAUUUCUUCUGCAUCUCUGAAAACUACAUGGAGUUUCCCAGUGUUGCCCAGGCUGAAGUGAAGUGGUUAUUCACAGGUGUAAUAAUCAUGCACUACAGCCUUGAGAUCUCGGCCUCAGGCAUAUCCUUUUUCCUCAGCUUCCCAAGUACCUGGGACUGCAGACAUGUGCCACUGUGCCUGUCCAGAUAUUAUUCCUUAAGUUCUAUCAGUAAUUUGUUGAAAUUUUCAACUUAAAUUUUACACACAUAUUUGUCAGAUCUUUUUCUGUUUCUUACUUUUGAUGCUGCUAUAAAUGGUGUUGUUUGUAUAAUUUUAAUUUCUAAUGCUCUUUUGCUGCUUUCCAGAAAUAGAAGUUAUCUUUUUAUGUUAAAAUUGUAUUUUGAAAACUCAGUAAACAUGCUUAUUAGUCCUUCUUCCAUCAAAUCAAUGCCCUUCUGGGACCAGGUCAGAAGAUAAUCAGGAAGGUAAAAAUAGCCCUUUAGGGGAUUCUAAAUUUUUUUUUUCUCCAGUAUCUACCAUUUCUUCAUGAAAGUCAACAUGUCAAGAGAUAGAAUACUAUUUGGCCAUUAACACAGGCUAAAUAAGAAACUGAAUCAAAAUAAGCCAGUUCAGGACCAAGAGGCCCUAGAGAAACCCACUACUUCAAAUAAAGUCAGUAAGUAUAGAGGGAGGGACAGAGACCUCAAAAGUAUCCACUGUCUCCAGAAGCCUAAAAUGAUCAGCAAUGUAGAGACUGAAUCAUACAACAACAAAAUGCAUAAAUGCUAAUGAUUAAAAUAAAAAUAAAUGAGUUUUAAAAAGACCCUCAUUUUAGGGAAUAUAUGUGUUUCCUUGUGAAUUCUCUGAUGGUGGGAAAGGAGGGCAAUAAGGGAGUAGGCAGGCAUAUGACAAGGGAGUAAAGUGGAGUUCUGCAGGGUGCCGACCUCACCAGUAGGUCCACAAUGAGCUAGACAUGAGGGAUUAGUAGGUGAAGACUAAGUGCUGAAGACAAAUUUUCUCCUAAAUAUCAAUACACAGGCAAGAAUGUAUUAUUUCUGCCUGUGUUCAGGGUGACGGGUGACAUCAGUGUCUAGUUUGCUAGAACUCAGAUGGGAAGUGCUAAUUUGAAACAUAUAGAUAUAUAUGUGUGUAUGCAUAUAUACACAUAUAUAUUUGUGUAUGUGUAUAUAUACAUAUAUACACAUAUAUAUUUGUGUAUGUGUAUAUAUACAUAUAUACAGUUCAAGUUAGCAUAUUUAUGUCUAAUUUUUUGGUCAUUGUACAGGGAAUUCUAUUUGAAUAACUGUUGGACUGCUGGGCCACGAUACAAGCUGAUGCAGCUACCUCUACUUCUUUCUAAAAUAGUUUCUUAAUGACGUGGAAUUGUUGGUGUGUUAGAGCCAGCUUCAGGUGCACUUCCACUCACAAUCUCUGUAGUAAUGUGUCACACAAAUACCCCUGCUUUUAAACAUUAGCUUAUUAAAAAAAGAAAGCACAGUGAAUAUAGACAAAGAACAAUUUAAUUUUUCACAGUUCUGCCAUUUUCGGCAACCAAAUAUUUUGAUUUUAUGUCUAGAUUGGAAACGACGUGUGAACUGCAAGGUAUAACAUUUUUGAAGGAGAAUGGAAAUUUUAUUAUAUUUGACUGUAGAAUAUUCUAAUGAAUUUGAAAAAUCUUUAAAAGUGCACUUAUAAUUUUAAAUCCAGAACUUAAAAUAUUACAUUUGUUUUAUGAUUUAGUGGUUGCCUUAGUCGUACUGCUUGUAUACUGUUUGGUUUCCUUAAAAAUUUCUUGUUUUUACUUUUAUAUUUAUACAUAAAGUAGUUAAUAAAAGACUUAUAAUGUUUUCUGAUUAUUUCUUUAAAUUCUUAUUACUAAUUACUAAUUUUUUAUAUUGAAGAGGGUGUGUUUUAAAAAGUACCUUUCCAGAGGCCAAAUACACUUAGGCCACUGGAGUGGGGUAUUUUAUUGCCUAAAAUCCUUCAUAAUUAGGCCCCAAGUAGCUGGUGUGUUUUUUUUUUCUCUUGUUUGUUCUCUUCAUUUUAAAUAGUUUUACUGAGGUAGAAUUGACCUACAAUAAGCCACACAUCUUUACAUUUUACACUUAAUUAGUUUUGAUAUAUGUGUGUGCCCAUUAAAACCAUCACCACAAUCAAAAUAGGAAAUAUUUUCAUUGCUCUUAAAAGUUUCCUUUUUCCCUUUGCAAUCACUCACUCCUCCCUAUGUUCAUCCCUAGGUAACUAUUGAUGUCUUCUGUCACUACAGUUUACCUUUUCUAUAUGUUAAAUGACUGUAUCAUCAUACUGUAUAUACGCUUUUAUCUCCGUGGUCUUUUAUGUCUAACUUCCUUCAAUCAGCAUAAUUUUGAUAUGUAUUCCUGUUGUUGCAUAUAUCAAUAUUUCAUUCCUUUUUAUUGCUGAGUAGUAGUAUUACAUUAAGAGGAUAUGCCAAAUUUGUUCGUUCCUUUUCCUGUUGAGCAUGUAACUUGUUGCCAUUUUUUGGCUAUUACAA